AACUUUAUUUGUUUUUGUCAACCAAAGACUUCACCUUUAGAGGGCACUGGAAAAAAAAGCAAAAAUUCGAGGACUUGCUACUUUAUCAUCUUCUUCUUGUUGUUCUAUGAGAAAGAAGAAAAAGCAAAAAACUUGGUCAUUCUUUGUCUCUCACACAAAUCAUAAAAGUAAAUACCUUUUUUUUCUCGAUUUCUUUUACUUACUUACAUGGUCAUGGAUGAUUGUUCACUCAAUUUGGAAUCUGUUCUAUUGCAAUUAGUAUAAAAAAGCGUGGUCCGUGUACUUUUUUUUAUUGUCUGCUUCCUCAUCUGAUCAACGCUUAAUUUAUGGGUCUUUGGAUUCUAUCGGAACUUGGAUAAAAAAAAAUAUAUUUGGUGGUUAUUAACUCUUCUUCGAAACCCCCUUUUUGUUUUUUGUUGUUGCUCUCUUUCUUUUUUUUCUUCCUUUUGUGUGUGUUUCAGAAAUCCAGAAAUAAUCCAACUCUUUUGUCGCUCGGCUCGAAGCUUUUGGUUUUUGUUUUGAUUUUCUCAAUCUGGGCACACCAAUGGGGGAAGAAAGUUUCUAACUUUACAAAGAAGAAACAGUGGUGUGUUUUGAAUUUGAUGAUUGGGUGUUUUAAAGACCCAACAUAUGUUUUGAUGAGGGUUUUGCUGUGUAAGAUCCAGUGCCCUUCUUUCAUCUGUUUCUGUAAGCCUUCUCCUCAUAUCUACGCAUCUGGUUCUCUUAAAUUGGAGAACGCUCCUUCUUCUCAAGUGUCUUCUUCUACUACUACUGCGGUUGUCGAUCACGAUGAUGAUGAUACACAUGUAGAAGAAGAAGAGGUUGUUGAUCAUGUGGAUGAUGGUUUGUUGACUGAGGUUGGAGAAGAAGAUUGUGCUCUUGUUGAGGUUAAAAAAGAAGAAGGUCUUGGUAAUGGGGAAAUCUUGAAGAGCAGUCUCAGAAAGGAGGUUUUAGAUUCAGCUGAUGGUGGUGUGAGAAGGGAGAAGAAGAAAGUACAGUGGGUGGAUUUGAUGGGGAAAGAACUUGCUGAGAUCCGAGAAUUCGAGUCUAGUGAAGAAGAAGAUACCAGAUAUGAUGGCAAUCAAAGCUGUGUUUGUGUUAUUCUGUGAUCAAUUCGGCUUAGUUUUACGCGGAGAUAUGGCAAUGGUGAAAAGUGAAGAAGCUUGUUUGAGAAUUGGCUCUGUUCAUUUUGCGGCUUUGGAUUUAGAAUCCAUCUACAUUGAGUCAUUGGAACGGAUUGGGUGAAGGAUCUAAGCUUUGUAACCUCUCUAGGCAUCCAAAUUUGAACAGUAUGCUUCUCGUUAGGCUGUUGUAUGGGACACUCGGUGUUUUUCAACAUGGUUUUGGGGAUUUGAUCGACCGGUAUGAGUUUGCGAUCAUAAUUCAUCCAUAAGAUGGUGCUAUUGAGAGAGAUCCCGACGUUUUGAAGAACACUGACGAUUUAUUCAAAAUGAUUCCAAAUAUGAUAUCUAAUGAACACAUUAUUCUCUUGUUUAAAAAAUCAUUACACUUGCACAGAAAUUUGUAUGCAAGCCAAAGGAAUCCGUAUC
This is an RNA transcript of Camelina sativa (false flax), 1550 nucleotides long. RefSeq lists it as uncharacterized. The record is from RefSeq and is a predicted model, not a curated record. Lineage: Eukaryota; Viridiplantae; Streptophyta; Magnoliopsida; Brassicales; Brassicaceae.